ACACUAACUGGAGGACCGAACCGACUAAUGUUGAAAAAUUAGCGGAUGACCUGUGGCUGGGGGUGAAAGGCCAAUCAAACCGGGAGAUAGCUGGUUCUCCCCGAAAGCUAUUUAGGUAGCGCCUCGUGAAUUCAUCUCCGGGGGUAGAGCACUGUUUCGGCUAGGGGGCCAUCCCGGCUUACCAACCCGAUGCAAACUGCGAAUACCGGAGAAUGUUAUCACGGGAGACACACGGCGGGUGCUAACGUCCGUCGUGAAGAGGGAAACAACCCAGACCGCCAGCUAAGGUCCCAAAGUCAUGGUUAAGUGGGAAACGAUGUGGGAAGGCCCAGACAGCCAGGAUGUUGGCUUAGAAGCAGCCAUCAUUUAAAGAAAGCGUAAUAGCUCACUGGUCGAGUCGGCCUGCGCGGAAGAUGUAACGGGGCUAAACCAUGCACCGAAGCUGCGGCAGCGAACGUAUCACUUAAAGCGAUUCAGCGGGUUACGAUUGACGGAGCGAAGCGACGUCAAAGCGUAUACAAAGUCGAGUCGGUUUAAGGAUACGUU
RNAcentral lists this ribosomal RNA (546 nucleotides) under Salmonella enterica subsp. enterica. Its description in RNAcentral is "partial 23S ribosomal RNA". It matches the Rfam family "Bacterial large subunit ribosomal RNA", at positions 759 to 1298 of the family's 2925-position model. Lineage: Bacteria; Pseudomonadati; Pseudomonadota; Gammaproteobacteria; Enterobacterales; Enterobacteriaceae. The record is from RNAcentral.